This 253-nucleotide ribosomal RNA is filed under the name uncultured bacterium. RNAcentral describes it as "partial 16S ribosomal RNA". It matches the Rfam family "Bacterial small subunit ribosomal RNA", at positions 524 to 776 of the family's 1533-position model. The record is from RNAcentral.
UACGAAGGGUGCAAGCGUUAAUCGGAAUUACUGGGCGUAAAGCGUGCGUAGGCGGUGAGUUAAGUCUGUCGUGAAAUCCCCGGGCUCAACCUGGGAAUGGCGAUGGAUACUGGCUCGCUAGAGUGUGAUAGAGGAUGGUGGAAUUCCCGGUGUAGCGGUGAAAUGCGUAGAUAUCGUAAGGAAGACCAGUGGCGAAGGCGGGUCUCUGGACAGUUCCUGACGCUGAGGCACGAAGGCCAGGGGAGCAAACGGG